AUUACUUUAUUGAAACUUCGGUCGAUUUAAUUUAAUUCUAGUGGCGGACGGGUGAGUAACGCGUGGGUAACCUGCCUUAUACAGGGGGAUAACAGUCAGAAAUGGCUGCUAAUACCGCAUAAGCGCACAGAGCUGCAUGGCUCAGUGUGAAAAACUCCGGUGGUAUAAGAUGGACCCGCGUUGGAUUAGCUGGUUGGUGGGGUAACGGCCCACCAAGGCGACGAUCCAUAGCCGGCCUGAGAGGGUGAACGGCCACAUUGGGACUGAGACACGGCCCAGACUCCUACGGGAGGCAGCAGUGGGGAAUAUUGCACAAUGGGGGAAACCCUGACGCAGCGACGCCGCGUGAAGGAAGAAGUAUCUCGGUAUGUAAACUUCUAUCAGCAGGGAAGAUAGUGACGGUACCUGACUAAGAAGCCCCGGCUAACUACGUGCCAGCAGCCGCGGUAAUACGUAGGGGGCAAGCGUUAUCCGGAUUUACUGGGUGUAAAGGGAGCGUAGACGGUGUGGCAAGUCUGAUGUGAAAGGCAUGGGCUCAACCUGUGGACUGCAUUGGAAACUGUCAUACUUGAGUGCCGGAGGGGUAAGCGGAAUUCCUAGUGUAGCGGUGAAAUGCGUAGAUAUUAGGAGGAACACCAGUGGCGAAGGCGGCUUACUGGACGGUAACUGACGUUGAGGCUCGAAAGCGUGGGGAGCAAACAGG
RNAcentral lists this ribosomal RNA (703 nucleotides) under uncultured Lachnospiraceae bacterium. RNAcentral's name for it is "bacterial SSU rRNA". It matches the Rfam family "Bacterial small subunit ribosomal RNA", at positions 70 to 776 of the family's 1533-position model. The record is from RNAcentral. Lineage: Bacteria; Bacillati; Bacillota; Clostridia; Lachnospirales; Lachnospiraceae.